Molecule: ribosomal RNA, 119 nt
Filed under: Pteropus alecto (black flying fox)
Lineage: Eukaryota; Metazoa; Chordata; Mammalia; Chiroptera; Pteropodidae
Source: RNAcentral
GUCUACGGCCAUGCUACCCUGAACAAGCCCGAUCCCGUCUGAUCUUGGAAGCUAAGCAGGAUCGGGACUAGUUAGUACUUGGAUGGGAGACCACCCAGGAAGACCAGGUGCUGUCGGCA